UACCUGUCCCUUUAAGUGAAGAUCUAAGGGAGCUGCACAUUGACCUCCAUGGGGAAAGAAUGUUGACCAUUGGAAACAGUGGUGCUGGUCAAGUGCAAAGUGAUGGUGACAAAAGUGAGAAAAUGCAUAAGGAAAAUGUGAUGUCAUAUGAAAUAUGUGAUAAUGUCAUGCCUUU
Molecule: long non-coding RNA, 175 nt
Organism: Bufo bufo (common toad)
Lineage: Eukaryota; Metazoa; Chordata; Amphibia; Anura; Bufonidae
Exons: 3
Source: RefSeq, a predicted model, not a curated record